This 429-nucleotide ribosomal RNA is filed under the name bacterium. Its description in RNAcentral is "partial 16S ribosomal RNA". It matches the Rfam family "Bacterial small subunit ribosomal RNA", at positions 355 to 776 of the family's 1533-position model. The record is from RNAcentral.
UAGGGAAUCUUCGGCAAUGGGGGCAACCCUGACCGAGCAACGCCGCGUGAGUGAAGAAGGUUUUCGGAUCGUAAAGCUCUGUUGUAAGAGAAGAACGUGUGUGAGAGUGGAAAGUUCACACAGUGACGGUAACUUACCAGAAAGGGACGGCUAACUACGUGCCAGCAGCCGCGGUAAUACGUAGGUCCCGAGCGUUGUCCGGAUUUAUUGGGCGUAAAGCGAGCGCAGGCGGUUUAAUAAGUCUGAAGUUAAAGGCAGUGGCUUAACCAUUGUUCGCUUUGGAAACUGUUAAACUUGAGUGCAGAAGGGGAGAGUGGAAUUCCAUAUGUAGCGGUGAAAUGCGUAGAUAUAUGGAGGAACACCGGUGGCGAAAGCGGCUCUCUGGUCUGUAACUGACGCUGAGGCUCGAAAGCGUGGGGAGCAAACAGG